Molecule: ribosomal RNA, 253 nt
Filed under: uncultured bacterium
Lineage: Bacteria
Description: partial 16S ribosomal RNA
Rfam family: Bacterial small subunit ribosomal RNA
Source: RNAcentral
GACAGAGGUCCCGAGCGUUAGGCGGAAUCACUGGGCUUAAAGCGUGUGUAGGCGGAUGCCUAAGUACCUUGUGAAAUCCCACGGCUCACCCGUGGAACUGCUGGGUAUACUGGGUGUCUUGAGCCACCUAGGGGCGAGCGGAACAAGUGGUGGAGCGGUGAAAUGCGUAGAUAUCACUUGGAACGCCAAUGGUGAAAACAGCUCGCUGGGGGUGUGCUGACGCUGAGACACGAAAGCCAGGGGAGCAAACGGG